RNAcentral lists this long non-coding RNA (1827 nucleotides) under Fragaria vesca (wild strawberry). Lineage: Eukaryota; Viridiplantae; Streptophyta; Magnoliopsida; Rosales; Rosaceae. The record is from RNAcentral.
CCUCUUUUUUGCAUUUUGCGCUGUAUGUAACCCGUUUUUGUUUUAAUUUAAUUUUUUCCUUUCUUCUUGUUACUCGUUCGCAACCGCGCCGAAUGCUUACGUAGCUCGUACUAGAAGAGCUUCAAGGGUCACGCAGGUCCGACGGGAAAUACUUACCCACGGGGCGCGGGCAGAAGCGACCGAUCGAGGCGUGCAGGUGGGUCGUGUCUUGGGGAUCUGGGUUGAGUUAAUAUUAACUGUAACGGUAUUAUUUCAUUUUGGGUUUCGCCGUAUGGACUUGAGGUUUUAUAUACGUUUUCGGUGCUGCUAAUUCGCUAGAUAUAGUUCAUCUUAUGUUUUCUGUAAUUACUUAACAAAGGGUUAUAUAGAUUGAUUGUGCAUAAGCUUACGGAUGCGAUCAUACCAGCAAUAAUGCACCGGAUCCCAUCAGAACUCCGAAGUUAAGUCUUGCUUGGGCGAGAGUAGUACUAGGAUGGGUGACCUCCUGGGAAGGCCUCGUGUUGCAUCCCUCUUUUUUGCAUUUUGCGCUGUAUGUAACCCGUUUUUGUUUUAAUUUUAAUUUUUUUCCUUUCUUCUUGUUACUCGUUCGCAACCGCGCCGAAUGCUUACGUAGCUCGUACUAGAAGAGCUUCAAGGGUCACGCAGGUCCGACGGGAAAUACUUACCCACGGGGCGCGGGCAGAAGCGACCGAUCGAGGCGUGCAGGUGGGUCGUGUCUUGGGAUCUGGGUUGAGUUAAUAUUAACUGUAACGGUAUUAUUUCAUUUUGGGUUUCGCCGUAUGGACUUGAGGUUUUAUAUACAUUUUCGGUGCUGCUAAUUCGCUAGAUAUAGUUCAUCUUAUGUUUUCUGUAAUUACUUAACAAAGGGUUAUAUAGAUUGAUUGUGCAUAAGCUUACGCAUGCGAUCAUACCAGCAAUAAUGCACCGGAUCCCAUCAGAACUCCGAAGUUAAGCUUGCUUGGGUGAGAGUAGUACUAGGAUGGGUGACCUCCUGGGAAUGCCUCGUGUUGCAUCCCUCUUUUUUGCAUUUUGCGCUGUAUGUAACCCGUUUUUGUUUUAAUUUUAAUUUUUUCCUUUCUUCUUGUUACUCGUUCGCAACCGCGCCGAAUGCUUACGUAGCUCGUACUAGAAGAGCUUCAAGGGUCACGCAGGUCCGACGGGAAAUACUUACCCACGGGGCGCAGGCAGAACUCCGAAGUUAAUUUUGCUUGGGCGAGAGUAGUACUAAGAUGGGUGACCUUUUGGGAAGGCCUCGUGUUGCAUCCCUCUUUUUUGCAUUUGCAUUGUAUGUAAGUCGUUUCUUACGUAGCUCGUACUAGAAGAACUUCAAGGGUCAUGCAGGUCCGACUGGAAAUACAUACCCACGAGGCGCGGGUAGAAACGACCGAUCCAGAUAUGCAUGUGGGUCGUUUCUUGGGAUCUGGGUUAAGUUAAUAUUAACUGUAACGGUAUUAUUUCAUUUUGUGUUUCGCCGUAUGGACUUUAGGUUUUAUAUACGUUUUCUAUACUGUUAAUUUGAUAGAUAAAAUUCAUCUUAUGUUUUCUGUAAUUACUUAACAAAGGGUUAUAUAGAUUGAUUGUGCAUAAACUUACGGAUGCGAUCAUACCAGCAUUAAUGCGCCGUAUCCCAUCAGAACUCCGAAGUUAAGGUUACUUGGGCGAGAGUUGUACUAGGAUGAUUGACCUCCUGUGAAGGCCUCGUCUUGCAUCUCUUUUUUUUGCAUUUGUGCUUUAUGUAACUCGUUUUUAUUUUUAUUUUAAUUUUAUUCUUUCUUCUUGUUACUGGUUCGCAACCGCGCCGAAAGUUUACGUAAUUCGUACUAGAAG